Molecule: RNA transcript, 2914 nt
Organism: Populus trichocarpa (black cottonwood)
Lineage: Eukaryota; Viridiplantae; Streptophyta; Magnoliopsida; Malpighiales; Salicaceae
Exons: 5
Source: RefSeq, a predicted model, not a curated record
CUUUUUUUUUUUGUUGACACCCACCCACAUCAAAGCCACUCCUCCCCUUUUCUUCUCCCCAAGAAAUGAGCAUGAAACCCAAAAUCCCAAAAACCUUUCACUGUAAAAAAGAAGACAUUACCUUAAGUACUAAAAAAAAGAGGAGGAAAAACUGGUAACCUCUCUAAAAUUAGUGGGGCUGGGGCAGGGAAACCAUAGGAAAGCAACUCUUUUUCCUUUUUUUUUUCCUCUCUCUCUCUCUCUCUAGUCUUUUGUGCUACUCCCCAGCCAACAAAAAAGAGAGCCCCCCAUUGCAAACUGGAAGAAUGGAUUUGAAAGAAUUGAAGUGACCUUGACCCAUGUAGUGUCCUCUCCCCUCCCUCUAUUUAAAACCCUCAAAUAUCUCACCCUCCCUCCCUCCCUCCCUCCCUCUUUUCUUUCACUUGGUUUGUUUUUACUACAGUGGUAUUAGUUUUGUGCGUGUUUUAGAGUGAGUGAGUGUGUGUGUGUAUUUAGCAAGGGGAAGAUGCCAAGGCCAGGGCCAAGGCCUUAUGAGUGUGUGAGAAGAGCAUGGCAUAGUGAUAGACACAAACCCAUUAGAGGUUCCAUGAUUGGACAAAUUUUAAGGAUGGCCUAUGACACUCACAGUGCUGCAACUAAAGGGAAUAGGGAGUGGCAAGAUAAGCUUCUUCUUGUGGUUUACAGGGCUGAGGAAAUCAUGUACUCCAAAGCCAACUCUGAGGCCGAGUAUGUGAGCCAAGACACUUUAUGGGACAGAGUAAACGAUGCCGUUAAUACCAUUAUAAGGAGAGAUGAGAGCACUGAAACUGGAGAUCUUUUGCCUCCUUGUAUUGAAGCUGCCCUUAAUUUGGGAUGCAAAGUGGAGAGAGCUUCGAGAAGCCAACGACACAACAAUCCCAGGAGCUACCUCAGCCCAAGAACGCAAGAACCGGCAUCUGUAGCUCCUAGAGCUGUAGAUAGAACUCAUGAUGAGCAAGGCCCUCGGCUAAUGCCAAUUCACUCGAUCAAUCCAUUGAACUUUGCUGCAAGAGCCACCACAAUUGUGAAUCCAAAUCUUCCUGUUUCAGAGUCUAGUCAUCGUCUGGCUGAGAGUAGUAAUGCUGCUCCUCCUCACAGUUGCCCUAUCUUGUAUGAGAAUAUCCCUCCUGGCAGUGAUCAGUUGACUACCAAGGAAGCCGACAUGCAUCAGAACUUUGGUUCAGUUUAUCCCUUGUUUUAUGGAGAUCAAUAUCAAAUAGAAGCAUCUGAUAUGGUCUCCGAAGUUUCGACAAGGAUGAACUCCAACACUAUACUUGUGGGUAAACCUAUUGGUACAUCAGUAGCUGCGCAAGGGAUAUCGGCGUCUUGCAGACAGUUUUCUCAUGUUCCAGUGCUGAAGUUGGUUCCAUGAAAAUCACAAAAGCAGAUUUCAGGAAUAUCCAUGAGAAGCCAACUGGCACGCAAUGUGAUUUAUCCUUAAGGUUGGGUCCAUGCUCAGACCCUUGUAUAAGCACCGAAAGAAAUCAAGCUCAAGAAAAUGAAAUCGUUGGCUCGAGCAGUUCUCAAGAAAGAGACAAGUUUAGUGUUUUUUCUCAACAUAGAAACAAGGAAUUCUGUUUUUUUCCCAGUACAAGCAAUAGGGAUCCCUCUGAGUCCUGUCCGGAUAAGUGGGCCUCAGAGGGUGAUGUUCAGAAUUUGGAGGCAAACAUCAGAAAGCGCAAGGCACCCUUCAGUGACAAUGUGGAGGAUGGGCAUUUUUGCUGGCAGUCCAACCAGUUCAUUGGUCGAAUAGAAGGGCCAGGUGCUGAGAUCUUUUUUGAAAGAAUGGUAGGAUUCCUCAUAGCAUGCUCUUGGCAAUCAUUCUAUAGCAGUGGAUAUAAGCUCAAUUUCCACCACAUAAUUGUAUACAAGUAAUAGAUAUCGGAGAAUAUGUUCAUGUUCUUCUUUGAUCACUCAUACGUGUAAAUAUUUUUUAAGCUAUUAUUGUGUUAUUUUGAAUUAAAACCUAACCAGCACAUCUUGGUUUUGGCUUUUACAUGAUUGGAUGUCUGAUUCUUAUGCACGAGUAAAGUUACUAUUAGGGAAAUGGAGCAUCUAAUAGAUAGUUAAAACUAAGUGCAUUGUCAGACUCCAUAGUUCCAUUUAUGUCUCCAUAAUCGACUGAUUUGAGUUAACACGUGUCAUUUCCUUUUCAACGCCUUUCCUUCCUCACCCCCUAUCUUUCUGUAUUUGAGUAUUUUGAGUGCAGAAAAAUGUGGGAUUCAUCUUUCUUUUUGGUCUUUUUCUUCCCCUUUGUACAAUUUGCAAGCUGCUAACCUAGCAUAGUGUCUACUUCAAGGGAAAUGCAUAGGGGAGUGGUGCACCAUCUGUCCAUGACGUGAGCGUGAUGGAUAUUAGCAGUUCUUAUUCGUAUAGCUGCUUAUGCAUGACUAUUCUUAACAGGUAAUUGAGAUCUUCGGGUCCCUUUAGUAAUUGACCCAGUGGUUGAACCAGAAAUUUGAUGUUUAAACCAUUAAAUUGGAACCUUCAUCAGUUCUCUCCGUCACUUCUGAAAGCUAUGCGUGUAAGUCUCAGGUUCUGGGGGUUGCAGGCCAGGCACAACAUCAGGUGGGAAAAAAAUUGGAAAGGUGAGGUUUCCGAGUUUUUUCCCAUACUAGAACAGUGCGGAAAAUAUUUAUCAAAUUAACAUAGUUGAAUAAAUAAUUUCAAAAUUAACAAAGAUGAAUCUAGAGGGAGAUAUUCGUGCUAGUCCGGUCUUUCUUUUAGACUUUAAAAGACUGCUUUCUCCGCAUAGGCAUCAAAAGCAUGCAUAACAUUUGACAAUCCAGCUAAAGAAACAGAUGUCUGAUGUAAAAUGUUAAAGAAUGACCCUUCUGUCAAUUUUUUUGAUCUGUCGCAGUUGACUUGCACACACACGCAACAGCUUAAACAUUUU